Molecule: ribosomal RNA, 440 nt
Filed under: uncultured bacterium
Lineage: Bacteria
Description: bacterial SSU rRNA
Rfam family: Bacterial small subunit ribosomal RNA
Source: RNAcentral
ACCUAAUCAGAAAGCCACGGCUAACUACGUGCCAGCAGCCGCGGUAAUACGUAGGUGGCAAGCGUUAUCCGGAAUUAUUGGGCGUAAAGCGCGCGUAGGCGGUUUUUUAAGUCUGAUGUGAAAGCCCACGGCUCAACCGUGGAGGGUCAUUGGAAACUGGAAAACUUGAGUGCAGAAGAGGAAAGUGGAAUUCCAUGUGUAGCGGUGAAAUGCGCAGAGAUAUGGAGGAACACCAGUGGCGAAGGCGACUUUCUGGUCUGUAACUGACGCUGAUGUGCGAAAGCGUGGGGAUCAAACAGGAUUAGAUACCCUGGUAGUCCACGCCGUAAACGAUGAGUGCUAAGUGUUAGGGGGUUUCCGCCCCUUAGUGCUGCAGCUAACGCAUUAAGCACUCCGCCUGGGGAGUACGACCGCAAGGUUGAAACUCAAAUGAAUUGACG